GGCAGCCUUACACAUGCAGUCGAACGGGCUCUUCGGAGCUAGUGGCGGACGGGUGAGUAACGCGUGAGAAUCUGGCUUCAGGUCUGGGACAACCACUGGAAACGGUGGCUAAUACCGGAUGUGCCGAGAGGUGAAAGGCUUGCUGCCUGAAGAUGAGCUCGCGUCUGAUUAGCUAGUUGGUAGUGUAAUGGACUACCAAGGCGACGAUCAGUAGCUGGUCUGAGAGGAUGAUCAGCCACACUGGGACUGAGACACGGCCCAGACUCCUACGGGAGGCAGCAGUGGGGAAUUUUCCGCAAUGGGCGAAAGCCUGACGGAGCAAUACCGCGUGAGGGAGGAAGGCUCUUGGGUUGUAAACCUCUUUUCUCAGGGAAGAAGACAAUGACGGUACCUGAGGAAUAAGCAUCGGCUAACUCCGUGCCAGCAGCCGCGGUAAUACGGAGGAUGCAAGCGUUAUCCGGAAUGAUUGGGCGUAAAGCGUCCGCAGGUGGCUGUGUAAGUCUGCUGUCAAAGAGCAAAGCUCAACUUUGUAAAGGCAGUGGAAACUACACGGCUAGAGUGCGUUCGGGGCAGAGGGAAUUCCUGGUGUAGCGGUGAAUUGGCGUAGAAAAAACG
This 615-nucleotide ribosomal RNA is filed under the name Anabaena sp. 109. RNAcentral's name for it is "bacterial SSU rRNA". It matches the Rfam family "Bacterial small subunit ribosomal RNA", at positions 41 to 701 of the family's 1533-position model. Lineage: Bacteria; Bacillati; Cyanobacteriota; Cyanophyceae; Nostocales; Nostocaceae. The record is from RNAcentral.